RNAcentral lists this unclassified non-coding RNA (379 nucleotides) under uncultured Actinomycetes bacterium. RNAcentral's name for it is "uncultured actinobacterium contains 16S-23S intergenic spacer region". Lineage: Bacteria; Bacillati; Actinomycetota; Actinomycetes. The record is from RNAcentral.
UCCGAGUUGACCCCGGCAGUCUCCUAUGAGUCCCCACCAUAACGUGCUGGCAACAUAGAACGAGGGUUGCGCUCGUUGCGGGACUUAACCCAACAUCUCACGACACGAGCUGACGACAACCAUGCACCACCUGUAUACCGCCCAAUAAAGGACCCCGUAUCUCUACGAGUUUUCGGUAUAUGUCAAGCCUUGGUAAGGUUCUUCGCGUUGCAUCGAAUUAAUCCGCAUGCUCCGCCGCUUGUGCGGGCCCCCGUCAAUUCCUUUGAGUUUUAGCCUUGCGGCCGUACUCCCCAGGCGGGGCGCUUAAUGCGUUUGCUGCGGCACGGAACCCGUGGAUAGGACCCCACACCUAGCGCCCAACGUUUACGGCAUGGACUAC